This 422-nucleotide ribosomal RNA is filed under the name uncultured bacterium. RNAcentral's name for it is "bacterial SSU rRNA". It matches the Rfam family "Bacterial small subunit ribosomal RNA", at positions 355 to 775 of the family's 1533-position model. The record is from RNAcentral.
UAGGGAAUAUUGGUCAAUGGAUGCAAGUCUGAACCAGCCAUGCCGCGUGCAGGAAGAAGGCCUUCUGGGUUGUAAACUGCUUUUGCCAGGGGAUAAAAUGGUCUUGCGAGACUAAUUGAAGGUACCUGGUGAAUAAGCCACGGCUAACUACGUGCCAGCAGCCGCGGUAAUACGUAGGUGGCAAGCGUUGUCCGGAUUUAUUGGGUUUAAAGGGUGCGUAGGCGGCCCUGUAAGUCAGUGGUGAAAUACUCUAGCUUAACUAGAGGGGUGCCAUUGAUACUGCAGGGCUUGAAUGAAGUCGAGGUAGGCGGAAUUGACGGUGUAGCGGUGAAAUGCUUAGAUAUCGUCAAGAACACCGAUAGUGAAGACAGCUUACUAGGCUUAGAUUGACGCUGAGGCACGAAAGUGUGGGGAUCAAACAG